GAGGGUGCUAUACAUGCAGUCGUACGCUUCUUUUUCCACCGGAGCUUGCUCCACCGGAAAAAGAAGAGUGGCGAACGGGUGAGUAACACGUGGGUAACCUGCCCAUCAGAAGGGGAUAACACUUGGAAACAGGUGCUAAUACCGUAUAACAAUCGAAACCGCAUGGUUUUGAUUUGAAAGGCGCUUUCGGGUGUCGCUGAUGGAUGGACCCGCGGUGCAUUAGCUAGUUGGUGAGGUAACGGCUCACCAAGGCUACGAUGCAUAGCCGACCUGAGAGGGUGAUCGGCCACAUUGGGACUGAGACACGGCCCAAACUCCUACGGGAGGCAGCAGUAGGGAAUCUUCGGCAAUGGACGAAAGUCUGACCGAGCAACGCCGCGUGAGUGAAGAAGGUUUUCGGAUCGUAAAACUCUGUUGUUAGAGAAGAACAAGGAUGAGAGUAACUGUUCAUCCCUUGACGGUAUCUAACCAGAAAGCCACGGCUAACUACGUGCCAGCAGCCGCGGUAAUAACGUAGGUGGCAAGCGUUGUCCGGAUUUAUUGGGCGUAAAGCGAGCGCAGGCGGUUUCUUAAGUCUGAUGUGAAAGCCCCCGGCUCAACCGGGGAGGGUCAUUGGAAACUGGGAGACUUGAGUGCAGAAGAGGAGAGUGGAAUUCCAUGUGUAGCGGUGAAAUGCGUAGAUAUAUGGAGGAACACCAGUGGCGAAGCGGCUCUCUGGUCUGUAACUGACGCUGAGGCUCGAAAGCGUGGGGAGCAAACAGGAUUAGAUACCCUGGUAGUCCACGCCGUAAACGAUGAGUGCUAAGUGUUGGAGGGUUUCCGCCCUUCAGUGCUGCAGCUAACGCAUUAAGCACUCCGCCUGGGGAGUACGACCGCAAGGUUGAAACUCAAGGAAUUGACGGGGGCCCGCACAAGCGGUGGAGCAUGGUGGUUUAAUUCGAAGCAACGCGGAGGA
This 955-nucleotide ribosomal RNA is filed under the name Enterococcus durans. Its description in RNAcentral is "bacterial SSU rRNA". It matches the Rfam family "Bacterial small subunit ribosomal RNA", at positions 42 to 968 of the family's 1533-position model. The record is from RNAcentral. Lineage: Bacteria; Bacillati; Bacillota; Bacilli; Lactobacillales; Enterococcaceae.